UCGCCAGAGACUGAUAAAAGAGACAACAAAACAAAAAACAUCGGAAACGCUGCGCUCAAACCGCACGAACGGAAGGAAGGACGACCAAUCCUUAAAAACCGGCUUCUGGUUACAUCUUAGGCUGAGCGGUUAGCACCGAGAUGUUUUGGCGAUGUCUGACCCGCUGCACCUGAUCUCGCGGCGUGUGCUCUCGGCGAGCAGCGCCGCUAGGCUGCUAACGUCAUCAGCAACACAGGCUAAAACCGACUAGCCGGCUAACAGCUCAGCCAACAAAUUAACCGACUGUGCCCAGCCCCGCAAUCCGAGCCACAACCCGUCGGCGACGACUUCGAGUUCAUGCCGCAUGGGACACUCCCACGAUGACGUCAGCGGCGCGCACACAACGCGUGAGGGAGCGUGGCACGAUAUGACGGAGUGACCACAUCAGAAGCUGAGAAGCAGGACUCGAGACCACGCCAUGAGCAGCAUGUGCUUCAGAAAAUGUAUUGGGAGCAGCCCUAAAAGAAGAGCUCAGUGACAUCACAGCCAUUAUGAAAAGUAAGAUGCCUUUUGCCCAUGGCAUGAUGACUUCAAGCAAACGCCAAGAAAAAUCACAGUUUUUGUUUUAAAAUAAAAAAUCAUAAAAUUACAACACAACAAUCUUACUCAACCACGCUGUGCAAUCAAAUCUGUUCAUCAAUCAGUUUGUUGUUUUCACCUGUGCCUCUUUAGUUAAGACAGGGGCUGAAUUUAAAAUGGCACACUUGCUUGUAUGCUAUUUGAAUUUCAGUCAAUUCUUUAUGUA
This is a long non-coding RNA of Puntigrus tetrazona (Sumatra barb), 784 nucleotides long. RefSeq lists it as uncharacterized. The record is from RefSeq and is a predicted model, not a curated record. The transcript has 4 exons. NCBI's taxonomy places the organism in Eukaryota, Metazoa, Chordata, Actinopteri, Cypriniformes, Cyprinidae.